RNAcentral lists this long non-coding RNA (667 nucleotides) under Triticum aestivum (bread wheat). RNAcentral's name for it is "long non-coding RNA (TAES_LNC023835)". The record is from RNAcentral. Lineage: Eukaryota; Viridiplantae; Streptophyta; Magnoliopsida; Poales; Poaceae.
UGAGACUGAGAGUGAACCUGAUCAUAAGUUGAUACUAGCAUGCCCUUGUUCCAACAACAUUCUCAUUCCGACGUCCGACCAACCUUGAACAACUAAUCUACUACUACUCCCCUAGAAUUACAAGAGGAACAGAGGAGAGGAGAGGAAGGAAGACAAGGGUCCAUGCAUGAAAGCGACGGCCAUCUUACCAAAUUACGGAGCAAGAGAUCAAGGGACACAAAAGGCACCAAACCAUGUGCAUGCCAUUGACACACCGUCAGAUAUAUCAGGUUUUUCUUCCUUUGUCCUUGGAUCAGGCUAGCCCUGCAACAAGCUUACCAAAGCGGUUUCUUUCUUCUACCCAGGGCGAAUGUGAGCGAGUGAUCGAACUUCACGCGAAUGCCAGGAAGGAGAGGAGCACGGCGAGGAAGGCAGGCGCUCCGGACCUUGGAUGCAACCCCGCCGCUGCCGUGUCCAUGUUGCUCGUGCCUGUUGGACCCAGGCCGCCGAACCCGGUGGUGGUGUCCGUCCCCGUGCCGGUUCCUCCCAUGCCACCGGUGCUAGUGCCGGCACCGGGCGUGAAGGUGCCUGGGGUUCCCCCUGUUGUGCCUCCGAUCCCAGUCCCAGUCCCGGUCGGGGUCGUUGAUGUUCCAGCAGCACUGUGCAAUGAAGAAAGAAGAAGUGGUUA